RNAcentral lists this ribosomal RNA (459 nucleotides) under uncultured bacterium. RNAcentral describes it as "partial 16S ribosomal RNA". It matches the Rfam family "Bacterial small subunit ribosomal RNA", at positions 338 to 795 of the family's 1533-position model. The record is from RNAcentral.
CCUACGGGUGGCAGCAGUGAGGAAUAUUGGUCAAUGGCCGGAAGGCUGACCCAGCCAAGCCGCGUGAGGGACGAAGGUGCCAAGCAUUGUAAACUUCUUUUGUCAAGGGACAAAAUCAGGCUCGAGAGCCUGACCGAGGGUACUUGAAGAAAAAGCAUCGACUAACUCAGUGCCAGCAGCCGCGGUAAUACGGGGGAUGCGAGCGGUAUCCGGAGUUAUUGGGUUUAAAGGGUGCGUAGGCGGGCUGUUAAGUCAGCGGUAAAAGGCCGGGGCUAAAGCCCGGCGAGCCGUUGAAACUGGCUGUCGUGAGAUGUCGAGAGGGAUGCGGAAUGCGCGGUGUAGCGGUGAAAUGCGGAGAUAUCACGAGGAACCCCGAUUGCGAAGGCAGCCUGCCGGGGUGCGACUGACGCUGAGGCUCGAAGGUGCGGGUAUCAAACAGGAUUAGAUACCCGUGUAGUC